AAUUCUUUUCUCAUUAGUACGUGUUUGAAGUAAGUGUGGUUUACAAUCAUCUUGGAGGGUGGGUACAAGUACGUACUACCGCUUGUUUAUUUCUUUAACCUCUUUCUCUUCCCUCCCUCCUCCUCCAAAUGCCCUUUCCCCAUUUUCAUUCUUGUUUGCAUUAAUCUUGUCCUGUUUAUGACAUACGCUGUUUGCACUCACUGAGGUCACUGGGUUCCUGUACAUGUCUUCAUUCUGUUCGUUUCCCCUUCCCUGACCCCUCUUCCCUCCCACUGAGUCUCCUGAACUCCUCCUCUCCACCUUUUACUAUGCCCUUUGUUUGUACUCUGAAGGCAAAAGAAUUCUUCAAAGCUGUGUCAUCACAAAUUAUCUCAAAAUCUCAGAGUCAGAAGAAACUGUAUCAAAGAUCUUCCACAUGCUGUUAGAAAAGCUUUAGAAGUUUAUUCUCAUCUAAACUCAGUGUGUGAAUUUUCCCUACACCAACCUUUGUUUCUCCUUACAGACCUCAGAAGGCUAGGGGCUCUCCUUUAUAAUUGACACCUGAUGGCUAUAAUUAUGACAAAAACUGUGAUAAUGCAAGAUCUGGAUGCAGUGUGUGCUCUCCACUUCUGUGACACCAACACAUACGAAUAAGAAGAUGUGGUAUUUGCCUUUCUGCACUGCCCUAUUUCAGAUGGCAGCUGUCCCUGCCUUGGAGCUGCGUCUCCUUCGAUCAGCCCUACGUCUCUCACCCUCCCUGGUCAGUCAGCUUUCGGAUCGGCACGCAUCUUGGAUGCCCUCUUCUCUGUGCCACAUGGGCAUCAACAUCCCUUCCAUGGAGCUCAGGGAGGAACCUACGGAAGUGUCCAACAAGUGGUCCUGAGAAAGCGUGACCGCGAUCAUGAGGAGACAUGGUGAAAAGCAAAGUCUGAUGAUGGGAAAGACACGUCUGGAAUACAAGCAUGUUGACCCAGGCUGAGGAUCCACUCUUACCUAAUAAGGCUCCUCUGAAUUCCUCCCUCUCAUUCGUGCACCCUUCUCCUGCUACAACACGUAUAAGAACUCAGACAACACUGACUUUGUGCUCUAUUCGAAGUGCGGGGGACAGAGACAUUCUACAUGGCUGGAUUCGAGUCAUGGAACCUUCCAGUCUACACAGCAUAUGGACUCACAUUGUGUUGGAAAUUUUACAAGGAAACUAUUAAAUUUGUAUCAAGAUUUUAGUGAUUCAGCAUGUAUUGAAUGCUUAUUAUGUGCUAAUCACUAUAGCAACUGAAAUGAACUAGGAAACGAGAAGGCAGGGCAAUCUAACCAACUCAAGUCAGUAAAAAGAGUGAAUGCGAGUCAAAAAUAAGCAAUUCUGAGGACUAGCCUUCAGGCAUUCCAAACCCUUGCACAUUGUCACAACCCCUGUGUCUCAGUGAGAAGCGAUAUUAUCACGGUUCAUCUCCUGGAGACCAGGAACAAUGCUGCUGGAGGACAAGAUUUUUGUGUCUGUGUCACCACCACUGGAAGAAAGAAGGUGAAGAUAGAAAAGCACAAAAGGAGUGGCAGGAGAUAUCCUGGAGAGAGUUAUAAGACAUACAACAAGCAGAACUAUGAUGUUUAUGCCAUCAGGUUAUAUAAAAUAUGGAAUUUUAAUCCACUAAGCAGUUUAUCUUUUCAGGCAGCUUAGUUCUCUAGGAUAUUUACCUUCCUGAGAGGCCCAUGCCAUGUUCUAGGAAAAGUGUGUGCAAAAUACACACAAAAGUGUGUGCCCUGUUGGAAAAUUUGGCAAAGGCUGGAGGAUUAAUUCAACUUUUAGAAAAACAUCAUGCUGUAGACCUUGAAGGAAGGAUAUAGGCUGAAAGUUUCUUUUUUGUUGUUAGCAAAACUGUUCAAGUCUAUUUUGUCUUAAAACAGCAGCAGCAGCAGCAGCAGCAGCUAAUUGAGCCUUCAUCCUGUGUGAGGUACUAUGCCAAGUACUUUUCAAGCACCCCCAAAGUUCCGAGAUAUACAGUGCGCUGAGAUUCACCCUGGAUCUCCUUCCUUUCUUUUCUUUUUCUUUUUUCUUUUGCUACUGGAGAUCAAACUCAGGUCCUG
Long non-coding RNA from Fukomys damarensis (Damara mole-rat), 2061 nucleotides. RefSeq lists it as uncharacterized. The record is from RefSeq and is a predicted model, not a curated record. The transcript is spliced from 3 exons. NCBI's taxonomy places the organism in Eukaryota, Metazoa, Chordata, Mammalia, Rodentia, Bathyergidae.